CCCUAUAUGGUGAUCAGGAUGGCAAGCUCCAAUACAGCGUGAGAAGGGUGAUUCAAAGAUGACACCAUGAAGUGACAAUCACUGUCACUGCCUUUGAAAAGCACCACCACAGAGACUUUAAGAAGAGGUUUUGUAAGUUCUUGGACCCUUAAGUCUCUUUAUUUUUUGAACAGAGAAUGACAGCAUGCUGACAAUUCAUGAGAUAGGAUAUAAAGUAUUUGGGACCUGUUCGGUAGCCCUGGCUGACAUGGAAUCUCCUGCCUAGGUCUUCAGAGUGCUGCAAUUAUAGUCAUGUACCACCACAUCUGGACCAAUUUAGUUUUUAACUGAAAGCAAACAUUUUUU
Molecule: long non-coding RNA, 345 nt
Organism: Peromyscus leucopus (white-footed mouse)
Lineage: Eukaryota; Metazoa; Chordata; Mammalia; Rodentia; Cricetidae
Exons: 2
Source: RefSeq, a predicted model, not a curated record